Molecule: ribosomal RNA, 441 nt
Filed under: uncultured bacterium
Lineage: Bacteria
Description: bacterial SSU rRNA
Rfam family: Bacterial small subunit ribosomal RNA
Source: RNAcentral
UACGGGAGGCAGCAGUGGGGAAUAUUGCACAAUGGGCGCAAGCCUGAUGCAGCCAUGCCGCGUGUAUGAAGAAGGCCUUCGGGUUGUAAAGUACUUUCAGUCGUGAGGAAGGUGUUAAGGUUAAUAACCUUAGCAAUUGACGUUAGCGACAGAAGAAGCACCGGCUAACUCCGUGCCAGCAGCCGCGGUAAUACGGAGGGUGCGAGCGUUAAUCGGAAUUACUGGGCGUAAAGGGCACGCAGGCGGUUAAUUAAGUUGGAUGUGAAAUCCCCGGGCUUAACCUGGGAAUGGCAUUCAAGACUGGUUAGCUAGAGUCUUGUAGAGGGGGUAGAAUUCCAUGUGUAGCGGUGAAAUGCGUAGAGAUGUGGAGGAAUACCGGUGGCGAAGGCGGCCCCUGGACAAGGGACUGACGCUCAUGUGCGAAAGCGUGGGGAGCAAACG